AUUGAACGCUGGCGGCAGGCUUAACACAUGCAAGUCGAGCGGGGUGAUGGUGCUUGCACUAUCACUUAGCGGCGGACGGGUGAGUAAUGCUUAGGGAUCUGCCUAUUAGUGGGGGACAACAUCUCGAAAGGGAUGCUAAUACCGCAUACGUCCUACGGGAGAAAGCAGGGGAUCACUUGUGACCUUGCGCUAAUAGAUGAGCCUAAGUCGGAUUAGCUAGUUGGUGGGGUAAAGGCCUACCAAGGCGACGAUCUGUAGCGGGUCUGAGAGGAUGAUCCGCCACACUGGGACUGGGACACGGCCCAGACUCCUACGGGAGGCAGCAGUGGGGAAUAUUGGACAAUGGGGGGAACCCUGAUCCAGCCAUGCCGCGUGUGUGAAGAAGGCCUUAUGGUUGCAAAGCACUUUAAGCGAGGAGGAGGCUCUUUUGGUUAAUACCCAAGAUGAGUGGACGUUACUCGCAGAAUAAGCACCGGCUAACUCUGUGCCAGCCGCCGCCGUAA
Molecule: ribosomal RNA, 503 nt
Filed under: uncultured bacterium
Lineage: Bacteria
Description: partial 16S ribosomal RNA
Rfam family: Bacterial small subunit ribosomal RNA
Source: RNAcentral